CAUGCAAGUCGAACGGUCUUCUGACUUCGGUUAGAGGGCAGUGGCGAACGGCUGAGUAAUGCAAAGGUAACCUAUCCUUAAGUGGGGGACAACCCUGAGAAAUCAGGGCUAAUACCGCAUAUAAUCCUCUUAUUACUUGGGAGGAUGAAAGCCUUCGGGCGCUUAAGGAGGGGCCUUUGUCCUAUCAGGUAGUUGGUGGGGUAAAAGCCUACCAAGCCGAAGACGGGUAGCUGGUCUGAGAGGAUGGUCAGCCAGACGGGGAAUGAGAGACGGCCCUGACUCCUACGGGAGGCAGCAGCAAGGGAUAUUGCGCAAUGGGCGAAAGCCUGACGCAGCGACGCCGCGUGGGGGAAGAAGGCCUUCGGGUUGUAAACCCCUUUUCUUGGUGAAGAGGAAGGACCGG
Molecule: ribosomal RNA, 403 nt
Filed under: uncultured bacterium
Lineage: Bacteria
Description: bacterial SSU rRNA
Rfam family: Bacterial small subunit ribosomal RNA
Source: RNAcentral